RNAcentral lists this ribosomal RNA (406 nucleotides) under uncultured bacterium. Its description in RNAcentral is "partial 16S ribosomal RNA". It matches the Rfam family "Bacterial small subunit ribosomal RNA", at positions 29 to 526 of the family's 1533-position model. The record is from RNAcentral.
AUUGAUCGCUGGCGGCAGGCCUAACACAUGCAAGUCGAACGAGUGGCGGACGGGUGAGUAAUGUCUGGGAAACUGCCCGAUGGAGGGGGAUAACUACUGGAAACGGUAGCUAAUACCGCAUACUAUCGGAUGAGCCCAGAUGGGAUUAGCUGGUAGGUGAGGUAACGGCUAACCUAGGCGACGAUCCCUAGCUGGGCUGAGAGGAUGACCAGCCAAACUGGAACGGAGACACGGUCAAGACUCCGACGUGAGGCAGCAGUGGGGAAUAUUGCAGAAUGGGCGCAAGCCUGAUGCAGCCAUGCCGCGUGUAUGAAGAAGGCCUUAGGGUUGUAAAGUACUUUCAGCGGGGAGGCGUUACCCGCAGAAGAAGCACCGGCUAACGCCGUGCCAGCAGCCGCGGUAAUUC